RNAcentral lists this long non-coding RNA (421 nucleotides) under Salmo trutta (river trout). Its description in RNAcentral is "lncRNA (ENSSTUG00000014268.1)". Lineage: Eukaryota; Metazoa; Chordata; Actinopteri; Salmoniformes; Salmonidae. The record is from RNAcentral.
UGAUUUUAGGUUUAUAUCAGAAUGAUUGGAUGUGUCUCUUUUCAGAUGUUCAUUAGCCUGUUGGAGGGAGUUAUAAAACAGACUACACAGAAGAAGCCAGUCAGGCCUCCUGCUCCUGAGAGGAGAUGAAUACACCCAAUCAAACCAGUGCUCUCUGUCCUGGCCCUGUAUCAACCCGCUGAAGAAUGGCAGCAAAUCAGUAGUUUGAUUAUGUAAAGUAAAAGUAAGUAUUGAUGUUAUGUUUAGUUAGUUAACGACUGACUGAGGGAUGGGCCGUGUGGAGGAACAUGAUAGGUGCAGGGCAGAGCGUACCCCUUUAUAAUGGUUACAGGGCAGAGUAUACCCCCUUCAACUACACUGUAGUAUAGAGAUGGGAUUAGGUAUCUAUUGUGAUGGAGUAGAAAGCCCCUGGACUCUCAGG